UUCAGCUACUGAGGAGGUCCUGGACCGGAAAGUGCCGGCGGCCCUGGAGUCCGCCUUGCCGUGCGCGCCACGAGGCGGCGCCGGAGAAGGGACCGGGCGGGUCCACGUCACGGGCGUCAGGCGGGACCGGACUCCUCUUGAACGCGAGUCUGCGAAGAGCCUGGCCAGACGGACUGUUAACGGUGAGACGCAGGUGCUCACUGACAGGGCGGAGUGAGCGCCAGGCGGAACGUGAGACCCGCGGUCCUCCUUUGAAAGCCAUGAAAUUAAAAGACGCUUACUCCUUGGAAGGAAAGUUAUGACCAACCUAGACAGCAUAUUAAAAAGCAGAGACAUUACUUUGUCAACAAAGGUCCGUCUAGUCAAGGCUAUCGUUUUUCCAGUGGUCAUGUAUGGAUGUGAGAGUUGGACUAUAGAGAGGGCUGAGCACAGAAGAAUUGAUGCUUUUGAACUGUGGUGUUGGAGAAGACUCUUGAGAGUACCUUGGAUUGCAAGGAGAUCCAACCAGGCCAUCCUAAGGGAAAUCGGUCCUGGGUGUUCACUGGAAGGACUGAUGUUGAAGUUGAAACUCCAGUAUUUUGGCCACCUGAUGCGAAGACCUGACUCAUUUGAAAAGACCCUGAUGUUGGGAAAGAUAGAGGGCAGGAGGAGAAGGGGACAACAGAGGAUGAGAUGUUUGGAUGGCAUCACCGACUCAAUGGACAUGAGUUUGGGUAAACUCUGGGAGUUGCAGGACAGGGAGGCCUGGUGUGCUGAGGUUCAUGAGGUUGCAAAGAGUUGGACACGACUGAGCAAGUGAACUGAACUGAAUGGUUGUUUACCCUAAAAUACAGUUUCUACAAGAAGGGCAGAAUAAAUGCUUAAUCUUUUCUCUUAUAUACCAACUUCCAGAGUGAUAAGUUGGCACCUUAACAAACUCCAAGUAUAAAUAAUAUUUUAAGUAUCAGUACAACCUCAUGGAUUUUUCUAUAUUUUGUGUUUAAAAUAUAAUUUACUGUUAUA
This is a long non-coding RNA of Dama dama (fallow deer), 1002 nucleotides long. RefSeq lists it as uncharacterized. The transcript is spliced from 2 exons. Lineage: Eukaryota; Metazoa; Chordata; Mammalia; Artiodactyla; Cervidae. The record is from RefSeq and is a predicted model, not a curated record.